AUGGCUAAGUUGAAGAAGCAAGUCAAGCGCACCAAAGAAAUUCUGAGCGCAUAUACCCCUGCUCCAAUCUCAGUUGAAUCUCUCUAUAAUGAUACCGAUUUCAGAAGCAGCAUAACACGUGAAAAAUUUGAAGAGCUUUGUGCAUAUUUAUGGGAGCAGGCUCUGUCUCCAAUCAAAGAUGUGCUCACGCAUUCAGGCAUGAAAAUUGGUGACGUAUAUGCUGUAGAGCUAAUUCGAGGAGCUACCAGGGUACCGAAACUGCAGGCUAAGCUGCAGGAAUUCCUGGGAUGGAGUGAGCUAGAUAAGCACCUUGAUGCUGAUGAAGCAAUUGUUCUUGGCGCCUCACGACAUGCUGCUAAUCUAAGUGAUGGGAUUAAGUUGAACCGCAAGUUGGGGAUGAUUGACAGUUCUACUUAUGGUUUCGUGUUUGAAAUAGAUGGCCCAGAUUUUGUCAAAGAUGAAAGUACUGAUCAAGUACUGGUUCCAAGGAUGAAAAAGAUGCCAAUAAAGUUGUUCAGGUCCAUCAAAUAUACUAAGGACUUUGAUGUGUCUCUCAGCUAUGACAAAGCUUCUGAAUUGCCCCCAGGUGUUUUAUUGCAAAUGUUUGCAGAGUACGCCAUAUCAGGCCUGACAGAAACCAGUGAAAAGGAUGGGUUAGGGUUUGCUGUUGGAUCCAACAUUUUUCUGUUGAUGGUUGUCGUCUGCUCAUGCUCUUGA
This 717-nucleotide ribosomal RNA is filed under the name Triticum aestivum (bread wheat). RNAcentral describes it as "partial small subunit ribosomal RNA". The record is from RNAcentral. Lineage: Eukaryota; Viridiplantae; Streptophyta; Magnoliopsida; Poales; Poaceae.